GGUUGGAUCAAUUUUAUCAUCUUUAGAUAUGAUCAUCUGUAAAAAUGAAGAAAAAGAAGAAGAGAGGAGGAGGAGGAGAUGCCACCUGAGACCUUGAUGGAGCUGGGGAUAUUUGUGCUGUAAGCAGCGUAAAAAUGAAGAAAAAGAAGAAGAGAGGAGGAGGAGGAGAUGCCACCUGAGACCUUGAUGGAGCUGGGGAUAUUUGUGCUGUAAGCAGCAGUCACGCGGGUCGUCGGAUCAUCCGUGCUCCAGCCCUCAUCACUUCAGUCGGUUGAUCACAACCGUCCACCUUCACCAGUCAUCGCAACCAUAGACCAUGUUCCUCCAUUUAAGUAGCACACGAAACGCUCGCCCUAUCGCGUCCGAUUCUGCGGUCCGAACCCACUCUCCUUACCUACUCUUCUAAACCCGACCCAGCUUUCUCCGCUCCUCUCUCUCUCUCUCUCUCUCUCUCUCCGGUGGUNN
This 465-nucleotide long non-coding RNA is filed under the name Elaeis guineensis (African oil palm). RNAcentral describes it as "long non-coding RNA (EGUI_LNC036146)". Lineage: Eukaryota; Viridiplantae; Streptophyta; Magnoliopsida; Arecales; Arecaceae. The record is from RNAcentral.